Molecule: ribosomal RNA, 516 nt
Filed under: uncultured bacterium
Lineage: Bacteria
Description: bacterial SSU rRNA
Rfam family: Bacterial small subunit ribosomal RNA
Source: RNAcentral
AGAGUUUGAUCCUGGCUCAGAUUGAACGCUGGCGGCAUGCCUUUCACAUGCAAGUCGAACGGCAGCACGGGAGCAAUCCUGGUGGCGAGUGGCGAACGGGUGAGUAAUAUAUCGGAACGUGCCCAGUCGUGGGGGAUAACGUAGAGAAAUUUACGCUAAUACCGCAUACGAUCUAAGGAUGAAAGCGGGGGAUCGCAAGACCUCGCGCGAUUGGAGCGGCUGAUAUCAGAUUAGGUUGUUGGUGAGGUAAAAGCUCACCAAGCCGACGAUCUGUAGCUGGUUUGAGAGAACGACCAGCCACACUGGGACUGAGACACGGCCCAGACUCCUACGGGAGGCAGCAGUGGGGAAUUUUGGACAAUGGGCGAAAGCCUGAUCCAGCAAUGCCGCGUGCAGGAAGAAGGCCUUCGGGUUGUAAACUGCUUUUGUACGGAACGAAACGGUCUGCCCUAAUACGGUGGGCUAAUGACGGUACCGUAAGAAUAAGCACCGGCUAACUACGUGCCAGCAGCCGGG